AGCAGCCGCCACGGUAAAACGUAGGGUGCGAGCGUUAAUCGGAAUUACUGGGCGUAAAGCGUGCGCAGGCGGUUCGUUAAGACAGAUGUGAAAUCCCCGGGCUCAACCUGGGAACUGCAUUUGUGACUGUAGAGCUGGAGUACGGCAGAGGGGGAUGGAAUUCCGCGUGUAGCAGUGAAAUGCGUAGAUAUGCGGAGGAACACCGAUGGCGAAGGCAUUCCCCUGGGCCUGUACUGACGCUCAUACACGAAAGCGUGGGGAGCAAACAGGAUUAGAUACCCGCGUAGUCCCUGUCUCUUAUAA
Molecule: ribosomal RNA, 303 nt
Filed under: uncultured bacterium
Lineage: Bacteria
Description: partial 16S ribosomal RNA
Rfam family: Bacterial small subunit ribosomal RNA
Source: RNAcentral